GGCCGGUUGGCCCAAUGGCAAGGCGUCUGACUACGAUUGAUACGUUAUCAGGAGAUUCUGGGUUCGACCCCCAGGCUGGUCA
Molecule: transfer RNA, 82 nt
Filed under: Colletotrichum salicis
Lineage: Eukaryota; Fungi; Ascomycota; Sordariomycetes; Glomerellales; Glomerellaceae
Rfam family: tRNA
About the family: Transfer RNA (tRNA) molecules are approximately 80 nucleotides in length. Their secondary structure includes four short double-helical elements and three loops (D, anti-codon, and T loops).
Source: Rfam by way of RNAcentral